UGGGGGAUAUUGCACAAUGGGCGAAAGCCUGAUGCAGCGACGCCGCGUGGGGGAUGAAGGCUUUCGGGUUGUAAACCUCUUUCGCUAUCGAACAAGGCCCGCUUAGGGUGGGUUGAGGGUAGGUGGAGAAGAAGCGCCGGCUAACUACGUGCCAGCAGCCGCGGUAAUACGUAGGGCGCGAGCGUUGUCCGGAAUUAUUGGGCGUAAAGGGCUUGUAGGCGGCUUGUUGCGCCUGCUGUGAAAACGCGGGGCUUAACUUCGCGCGUGCAGUGGGUACGGGCAGGCUUGAGUGUGGUAGGGGUGACUGGAAUUCCAGGUGGAGCGGUGGAAUGCGCAGAUAUCUGGAGGAACACCGAUGGCGAAGGCAGGUCACUGGGCCAUUACUGACGCUGAGGAGCGAAAGCAUGGGUAGCGAACAGG
RNAcentral lists this ribosomal RNA (420 nucleotides) under bacterium. Its description in RNAcentral is "partial 16S ribosomal RNA". It matches the Rfam family "Bacterial small subunit ribosomal RNA", at positions 355 to 776 of the family's 1533-position model. RNAcentral also lists the same sequence under 1 other name. The record is from RNAcentral.